Molecule: long non-coding RNA, 792 nt
Organism: Amphiprion ocellaris (clown anemonefish)
Lineage: Eukaryota; Metazoa; Chordata; Actinopteri; Pomacentridae
Source: Ensembl
ACUGAACAGAGGAAGAGAAACAUCUGACUGAGAGACUCGACAAAGAUGGAAAAAGAUCCAGGAAGAUCAGUGAGAAACUAAAAACCAGUGAUGCACAGAGUCAGAUGGAAUCAGGAGGUCUAGAAGGAGUCAUAGUACCACUGAUCAGGAGGUCUAGAAGGAGUCAUAGUACCAGUAAUCAGGAGGUCUAGAAGGAGUCAUAGUACCACUGAUCAGGAGGUCUAGAAGGAGUCAUAGUACCACUGAUCAGGAGGUCUAGAAGGAGUCAUAGUUCCACUAAUCAGGAGGUCUAGAAGGAGUCAUAGUACCACUGAUCAGGAGGUCUAGAAGGAGUCAUAGUACCACUGAUCAGGAGGUCUAGAAGGAGUCAUAGUACCACUAAUCAGAGCUCCUAAAAUGACUCCACAGACAGUGAACUACUUUCUCCAUCCAGCUGUAAAAACAGACGGCAGCUGUUUCAGACUUGGUUCAGGGGUUCUCCAUGGAAACCAGAGUUAAUGUGAAGCUCAGAAGGAACCUUCAGAACAUCAACCUCUAUGGACGGAGGACCAGAACUAAGCCUGGCUGCUGAAGAACCCGAGAAGAAGCCUGAUGGAUGUUGGAGAACAUUCUUUGGUCAGAUGAAGAUCAACGAGUUGGGCUCAGAUGGAGUCCAGAUGUUUGGUGAGAACCUGAGCAGGACUACCAUAGUGGAUGCAGAGUCCUGACAAUGAAGCACGGAGUUCACUAACCCUCGUGUCGUCCUGUGAGUCAAACUGACUCAUUUUACAAUUUGAAAAUGUGAAAAAAAAA